RNAcentral lists this ribosomal RNA (659 nucleotides) under uncultured Actinomycetes bacterium. Its description in RNAcentral is "SSU rRNA". It matches the Rfam family "Bacterial small subunit ribosomal RNA", at positions 245 to 915 of the family's 1533-position model. The record is from RNAcentral. Lineage: Bacteria; Bacillati; Actinomycetota; Actinomycetes.
CUAGUUGGUGGGGUAAUGGCCUACCAAGGCGACGACGGGUAGCCGGCCUGAGAGGGCGACCGGCCACACUGGGACUGAGACACGGCCCAGACUCCUACGGGAGGCAGCAGUGGGGAAUCUUGCGCAAUGGGCGAAAGCCUGACGCAGCGACGCCGCGUGGGGGAUGAAGGCCUUCGGGUUGUAAACCCCUUUCAGCAGGGACGAAGCGAAAGUGACGGUACCUGCAGAAGAAGCGCCGGCUAACUACGUGCCAGCAGCCGCGGUAACACGUAGGGCGCAAGCGUUGUCCGGAAUUAUUGGGCGUAAAGAGCUCGUAGGCGGACUGUUGCGUCCGCUGUGAAAAGCUGGGGCUUAACCCUGGCCUUGCAGUGGAUACGGGCAGACUAGAGGUAGGUAGGGGAGAAUGGAAUUCCCGGUGUAGCGGUGAAAUGCGCAGAUAUCGGGAGGAACACCGGUGGCGAAGGCGGUUCUCUGGGCCUUACCUGACGCUGAGGAGCGAAAGCGUGGGGAGCGAACAGGAUUAGAUACCCUGGUAGUCCACGCUGUAAACGUUGGGCGCUAGGUGUGGGGUCCUUCCACGGAUUCCGUGCCGCAGCUAACGCAUUAAGCGCCCCGCCUGGGGAGUACGGCCGCAAGGCUAAAACUCAAAGGAAUUGACG